RNAcentral lists this long non-coding RNA (492 nucleotides) under Salmo salar (Atlantic salmon). RNAcentral's name for it is "lncRNA (ENSSSAG00000113176.1)". Lineage: Eukaryota; Metazoa; Chordata; Actinopteri; Salmoniformes; Salmonidae. The record is from RNAcentral.
GUGCUCUGUCUGUAACCUGUCAGGUGGUCUGAUGCUGUCAGGUGAUCUGUCUGUAACCUGGCAGGUGAUCUGUCUGUAACCUGCCAGGUGAUCUGUCUGUAACCUGGCAGGUGAUCUGUCUGUAACCUGGCAGGUGAUCUGUCUGUAACCUGCCAGGUGAUCUGUCUGUAACCUGCCAGGUGAUCUGUCUGUAACCUGCCAGGAGAUCUGUCUGUAACCUGCCAGGUGAUCUGUCUGUAACCUGCCAGGUGAUCUGUCUGUAACCUGUCAGGUGAUCUGUCUGUAACCUGUCAGGUGAUCUGUCUGUAACCUGUCAGGUGAUCUGUCUGUAACCUGCCAGGUGGUCUGUCUGUAACCUGCCAGGUGAUCUGUCUGUAACCUGCCAGGUGGUCUGAUGCUGUCAGGUGAUCUGUCUGUAACCUGCCAGGUGAUCUGUCUGUAACCUGCCAGUUGCUCUGUCUGUAACCUGCCAGGUGGUCUGUCUGUAACCUG